AAGUCGUAACAAGGUCUCCGUUGGUGAACCAGCGGAGGGAUCAUUAGCGAGUUACAAAACUCCAAACCACUGUGAACUUUACCUUUUUUCAGAAUGUUGUUUCGGUGGGUAGUUGGUGGCAAGUUCACCAACGUGCCCUGCCCGGCCAGCUGGGCGCCUACCGGCAGCACCAAAAAAUUCUUUAUAUUUAUAGCGGAGUUUUCAACUCUUCUGAGUAUGUUUAAAACAAAAUAAGCAAAACUUUCAACAACGGAUCUCUUGGUUCUG
This 267-nucleotide unclassified non-coding RNA is filed under the name fungal sp. RNAcentral describes it as "partial internal transcribed spacer region". The stretch from base 1 to 46 matches the Rfam family "Eukaryotic small subunit ribosomal RNA", at positions 1786 to 1831 of the family's 1831-position model. The record is from RNAcentral. Lineage: Eukaryota; Fungi.